RNAcentral lists this long non-coding RNA (731 nucleotides) under Physcomitrium patens. RNAcentral's name for it is "long non-coding RNA (PPAT_LNC009024)". Lineage: Eukaryota; Viridiplantae; Streptophyta; Bryopsida; Funariales; Funariaceae. The record is from RNAcentral.
UUCUGAGCAAGGGAACAUGUUAGGCUCUGGAGCACGCUGCUGCUGCCGCGGCUCUGCGGCUCUGCAGGCCAUGCAGCAGCAGCACCAGAUGCAGCAUUCAGGUGCAGGGCGUUGUAAGGAGCGGGGACGCGACGCCAGAGAGAAAUAUGCGUACAAUGCGAGAAGCAGAGCGCCGAGAACAAGAGAGAAGAGGGUAGGAGGGAGAGAUAGCGGGGAGUGUUGACUAUCGUAGGGGAGGGAAAAGAGAUCUUCUUUGGCUUGAUUACUUGAUGGGAUGCUAUGCCUACGCCAUAGCCGCUUCACGAAACCAGGACCGGGUCAGAAGGAAGACGAGGCCGUGGCACAGAGCAGAGCAGAGUAGAACAGAGGUGGUGAGAAGUAAGUGAGAAAGAAAAGCAAGCGUGUGAGACAAAUUAGCAAUCGAGAGAGAGAGCGAGAGAAGAGAGAGGGGCGGGGGUGGGGUGGGGUGUGGGGGACCCCCUUGGGAGUAGCAGCAGCACAGUGGGGCCCUGUUGUCGGACUGGGCCAGCUAUGGAGUUUGUUGCCAUCCCAGCAGUCAAGAAGGCUUUCGUUCACAACGCCACGACGAGUAUGAUAACAUAGUGCGGCAGAGUCGAUCGCAGCCAGCCAGCCAGCUAGCCCCCUUCUUCGCUUUCACGCUCCAACACCUCUUGUGGGCAUCCGUCGAUCGUCAGCUUCACAUUUUGUUUGGAUUUUCUCAUCUUUGGACG